UGCAAUACUGCAGUCGAACGCUUCUUUCCUCCCGAGUGCUUGCACUCAAUUGGAAAGAGGAGUGGCGGACGGGUGAGUAACACGUGGGUAACCUACCCAUCAGAGGGGGAUAACACUUGGAAACAGGUGCUAAUACCGCAUAACAGUUUAUGCCGCAUGGCAUAAGAGUGAAAGGCGCUUUCGGGUGUCGCUGAUGGAUGGACCCGCGGUGCAUUAGCUAGUUGGUGAGGUAACGGCUCACCAAGGCCACGAUGCAUAGCCGACCUGAGAGGGUGAUCGGCCACACUGGGACUGAGACACGGCCCAGACUCCUACGGGAGGCAGCAGUAGGGAAUCUUCGGCAAUGGACGAAAGUCUGACCGAGCAACGCCGCGUGAGUGAAGAAGGUUUUCGGAUCGUAAAACUCUGUUGUUAGAGAAGAACAAGGACGUUAGUAACUGAACGUCCCCUGACGGUAUCUAACCAGAAAGCCACGGCUAACUACGUGCCAGCAGCCGCGGUAAUACGUAGGUGGCAAGCGUUGUCCGGAUUUAUUGGGCGUAAAGCGAGCGCAGGCGGUUUCUUAAGUCUGAUGUGAAAGCCCCCGGCUCAACCGGGGAGGGUCAUUGGAAACUGGGAGACUUGAGUGCAGAAGAGGAGAGUGGAAUUCCAUGUGUAGCGGUGAAAUGCGUAGAUAUAUGGAGGAACACCAGUGGCGAAGGCGGCUCUCUGGUCUGUAACUGACGCUGAGGCUCGAAAGCGUGGGGAGCAAACAGGAUUAGAUACCCUGGUAGUCCACGCCGUAAACGAUGAGUGCUAAGUGUUGGAGGGUUUCCGCCCUUCAGUGCUGCAGCAAACGCAUUAAGCACUCCGCCUGGGGAGUACGACCGCAAGGUUGAAACUCAAAGGAAUUGACGGGGGCCCGCACAAGCGGUGGAGCAUG
Molecule: ribosomal RNA, 922 nt
Filed under: Enterococcus sp. H183
Lineage: Bacteria; Bacillati; Bacillota; Bacilli; Lactobacillales; Enterococcaceae
Description: bacterial SSU rRNA
Rfam family: Bacterial small subunit ribosomal RNA
Source: RNAcentral